RNAcentral lists this ribosomal RNA (253 nucleotides) under uncultured bacterium. Its description in RNAcentral is "partial 16S ribosomal RNA". It matches the Rfam family "Bacterial small subunit ribosomal RNA", at positions 524 to 776 of the family's 1533-position model. The record is from RNAcentral.
UACGUAGGGGGCAAGCGUUGUCCGGAAUUAUUGGGCGUAAAGAGCUCGUAGGCGGUUCGUCGCGUCGGCUGUGAAAACCCGGAGCUCAACUCCGGGCCUGCAGUCGAUACGGGCGGACUCGAGUUCGGCAGGGGAGACUGGAAUUCCUGGUGUAGCGGUGAAAUGCGCAGAUAUCAGGAGGAACACCGGUGGCGAAGGCGGUUCUCUGGGCCUGACCUGACGCUGAGGAGCGAAAGCGUGGGGAGCGAACAGG